GGUAAACGCUGGCGGCGUGCCUAAACAUGCAAGUCGAACGGUGUCCUUCGGGCGACAGUGGCAGACGGCUGAGUAACGCGUGGGUGACGUACCUGCUUGUGGGGAAUAACUGCCCGAAAGGGUGGCUAAUACCGCAUACGCCCGCUGAUUCGGUUUCAGUGGGGAAAGCUUCGCGAGAGGUGCAGAUGGAGCGGCCCGCGUCCGAAUUAGCUGGUUGGUGGGGUAACGGCCUACCAAGGCGACGAUCGGUAGCUGGUCUCAGAGGAUGAUCAGCCAGACUGGGACUGAGACACGGCCCAG
RNAcentral lists this ribosomal RNA (300 nucleotides) under uncultured bacterium. RNAcentral describes it as "bacterial SSU rRNA". It matches the Rfam family "Bacterial small subunit ribosomal RNA", at positions 28 to 334 of the family's 1533-position model. The record is from RNAcentral.